Molecule: long non-coding RNA, 493 nt
Organism: Pipra filicauda (Wire-tailed manakin)
Lineage: Eukaryota; Metazoa; Chordata; Aves; Passeriformes; Pipridae
Exons: 2
Source: RefSeq, a predicted model, not a curated record
GCUGCCACUCACCAUGUGUACACCAACUGCCAGCACAUCAGGUGAAAUCCAGACCUCAUAAAAAUUAAUCAGUGCUGAAGACCCGAGUCCAACCACAAGCAGAGCCAAGGGCUGUGGCAGCACGUGUGUGAAGUGGUCACGGCUGCUGUCUGAGCCGUGUGCUUGAUGGGGACCCGCCUUCAUGCCAGUCCAAGGGUGACUUCUGCCCAUUGCCUUUCUGUGUUACCUCUUGCUGCAUUCAUCACUUGGCUGGCUGUGACCAGAGCAGCAAGCAAAACUCUCCAUCAUUUGAACAGUGUCAGAGUGAUUCCUGCAACCCCCCAGUGGUUGGUCUGGUAUUUCAAGCUGUGGAAAACCACUGCAGCAAUUCAGGUCCGUUUCAAACCAACUGUGAGUCUGCGCCUGAGGCUGAUUUUCCCACCACGUUCCUGACUUCAUAUGCCUUGUCAUGGGCUAAAGUUGGUAUUAAAGGAGCUGUGAGGAAUGGGUGAUA